This 1203-nucleotide ribosomal RNA is filed under the name Triticum aestivum (bread wheat). RNAcentral's name for it is "partial small subunit ribosomal RNA". The record is from RNAcentral. Lineage: Eukaryota; Viridiplantae; Streptophyta; Magnoliopsida; Poales; Poaceae.
AUGCCGACCUCCUCGCAUGUCGGCGGCGACGGCCUCCCCCCCGGAUCCGCAUCCUCCAUCAUAUCCGGGGUCGUGAGCGGCUACCACUUGCUGAAGAUCGUCGGCUACUCGGGCACCAAGGAGGUCCCCAAUGGUAAGCGGGUCGACUCUUGCCCGUUCCAGGUGGGAGGCCGCACAUGGCAUGUGAGUUACUAUCCCAACGGGUCUGGGUCCGAGUACAUUGAUUACAUAGGCCUUUGUCUGUGCUUGAAUGAUACCGUCGGCAAGGCCGAGACCGUGAAGGCAAAAUUCAAGUUCAGCUUACUCGAUCAACAUGGGAAGGCAGUGCCGUCUUAUACCUGGACCUGCGAGACCAGAGACUUUUCCGUGAAGAAAUCCAGAGCUAUUCUUAGUUCUGGGACUGUCUGCCUGUCACUUUACUCACUGAUUGCUGGAAUUUUUGUCGCCGGCGAGGCAGAGAUCGUGAAGGCAAAAUUCAUGUUCAGCUUACUUGACCAACAUGGGAAGCCGGUGCCAUCAUAUACCGGUACUUCCGACACCAGGGAAUUUUCUAUGCAUAAAGGUCACGGGUUUGGCGGAUUUAUGAAAAGGGUUCAAUUGGAGGAAUCCGAGCAUCUCCAAGACGAUUCCUUCACGGUCAAGGUCGAUGUCACUAUCAUGAGCGAGUUCCAUACGCAGGAGACGCCAUCUAUCCUGGUGCCACCUUCUGAUUUGCACCGGCACUUAGGGGUUCUUCUGUCGAGCAAGGCAGGCGUCGAUGUCAAAUUCCAAGUCGGCGGGGAGACAUUCUCGGCGCACCGAUUGGUGCUUGCGGCACGGUCUCCUAUCUUUAGAGCAGAGUUCUUUGGCCAGAUGAGGGAGGGAACCACCACUGAGGCCAUACGCAUAGAUGACAUGGAGGCACCAGUGUUCAAUGCUCUGCUUACUUUCAUGUACACGGAUGCAUUGCCGGAUAUGAAGCAAGAAGAAGAAUAUGCCAUGGCUCAGCAUCUGCUUGUUGCGGCAGACAAGUACAACCUGGAGAGGCUGAAGCUUAUUUGUGAAGAUAAGCUGUGCAAUCGUAUCGAUACGAGCUCCGUGGCGACUAUCUUGGCAUUGGCCGAGCAGCGUCAAUGCCAUGAACUUAAGGCAGCAUGCUUGGUGUUCCUCAGCUCGCCGACGAAUCUGGGCGCGGCCAUGGAGUCUGAAGGUUCGAGUUUUUAA